Molecule: ribosomal RNA, 250 nt
Filed under: uncultured prokaryote
Description: partial 16S ribosomal RNA
Rfam family: Bacterial small subunit ribosomal RNA
Source: RNAcentral
UACGGAGGAUGCAAGCGUUAUCCGGAUUUAUUGGGUUUAAAGGGUGCGUAGGCGGGCGCGUAAGUCAGCGGUGAAAUACCCCUGCUCAACAGGGGGGCUGCCGUUGAUACUGCGUGUCUAGAGUGCGAACGGCGCCGGCGGAAUGUGUCAUGUAGCGGUGAAAUGCAUAGAGAUGACACAGAACACCGAUCGCGAAGGCAGCUGGCGAGCACGACACUGACGCUGAGGCACGAAGGUGCGGGGAUCGAAC